Molecule: ribosomal RNA, 459 nt
Filed under: uncultured bacterium
Lineage: Bacteria
Description: partial 16S ribosomal RNA
Rfam family: Bacterial small subunit ribosomal RNA
Source: RNAcentral
CCUACGGGUGGCAGCAGUGAGGAAUAUUGGUCAAUGGACGAGAGCCUGAACCAGCCAAGUCGCGUGAAGGAAGACGGUCCUAUGGUUUGUAAACUUCUUUUGUAGGGGAGUAAAAUACUCCACGCGUGGGGUUCCGUGUGUACCCGAAGAAAAAGCAUCGGCUAACUCCGUGCCAGCAGCCGCGGUAAUACGGAGGAUGCGAGCGUUAUCCGGAUUUAUUGGGUUUAAAGGGUGCGUAGGGGGAAGAUCAAGUCAGCGGGAAAAUUGAGAGGCUCAACCUUUACGUGCCGUUGAAAAUGGCAUUCUUGAGUGAGAGAGAGGUAGGCGGAAUUCGUGGUGUAGCGGUGAAAUGCGUAGAUAUCACGCAGAACUCCGAUUGCGAAGGCAGCAUAUCGGAGCUCAACUGACGCUCAUGCACGAAAGUGUGGGUAUCGAACAGGAUUAGAUACCCGAGUAGUC